Molecule: ribosomal RNA, 238 nt
Filed under: uncultured bacterium
Lineage: Bacteria
Description: partial 16S ribosomal RNA
Rfam family: Bacterial small subunit ribosomal RNA
Source: RNAcentral
GAUCAUGGCUCAGGACGAACGCCGGCGGCGUGCUUAACACAUGCAAGUCGAACGAGAAUCUACUGAAAGAGUUUUCGGACAAUGGAAGUAGAGGAAAGUGGCGGACGGGUGAGUAACGCGUGAGGAACCUGCCUUGAAGAGGGGGACAACAGUUGGAAACGACUGCUAAUACCGCAUGAAGCAUAGGGGUCGCAUGAUUCUUAUGCCAAAGNUUUAUCGCUUCAAGAUGGCCUCGCGU